Molecule: long non-coding RNA, 2906 nt
Organism: Felis catus (domestic cat)
Lineage: Eukaryota; Metazoa; Chordata; Mammalia; Carnivora; Felidae
Exons: 4
Source: RefSeq, a predicted model, not a curated record
CCUCACGGGGCUCCUCCUCUCAGCACGCUCCUCCCCUCCCUCAGCCACGUAGACAAGCAGUCCGUUUACUCCGCGGCAGCAGCUUGAGCUCCGGGGAAACUCGUUCGCUUCAUCGGCCCCUCGCUCUCCCCAGUCUCGGGCCUAGCACGCUUUCCCUUCCCCACCCCUGCCGUCCUGGUGGGGCUUCUCCUCUCACAGGGUCCUGAAGGCGGUCCCCAGCCGGUAUCUCCUACCCACACAGAUCUUUUCUCUUCGGGGCCUGGGGAGCAUCUGGGCUCCGCGGGUUCAAUUCCGAUCCGAUCAAGCUGGGCUUUGGGGGACAAGCUCCCUUCUGAAAAGUAGCCAGGGCCCCGGUGAGGAGGCAAAGUGAAGAGCUGUGCGGCCCUUGUCAUCAGCUGCACAGGGAUCCGUGCCAUCUUCCAGCAGCUGCUGCACUGACAUCGCCAAGACAGAGGGAGGGAGGGCGACAGAGAGGUAGCGUGAGUUACGCUGCAGCCCCCGGGGGUGAACACGGAUGCUCAGGGGAGCCUGCAGGUAAGGCACCCAUAAGCCGUGGGAGAGCGAGCUCCUCCUGGAUGCCGGCCUUACAGGAAUGUCAUGACAAGGGACUUACUCUCCUGAGGGCACAACUGGGAACCCCCGAUUCGGGCUGCUCAAACUACGUCUAGGGUUAGAACAUCACAGAAGGAUCUUGGCCCUCAGCGUCAGGAGUUCUCGAAUCACAGAAAUCCCCAGCACACAGACUUUGGCCCCCACAUCCAUUUGGAUACACACCCUUUCCAGUUGGACACAGCAGCCCAAGCUGCGGGGGCAGCGCUCACUUUGCUCCUGGGAGGUGGCCUUUUAGAGUGAGCGGCCAGAGCACAGGUUUGGAGCCACGAAGACUAAGUCCCAGGCUAAGCCGGGUAACGAAGAGAGGAGUACGUUGCCAACGGCACGGGGCAGUGGAAAGAGCGGGGCUCAGAGCAGGAAGGCCUGAAUCUGGGCCCCAAUUCACCGGCAAAUGGCAAUAAUCUCCGCCCUGCCAAUCUCCAGAGCUGCUGUAAUAACAAUAAUGGAUAUGAAAUUUCUUCGUUGCAAAGUAUGGAGCCAUUACAAAAUGUGACGCAUUAUGUGACACAUGUGUGUGUCCAGCUGAAAUGGAGAAAUUGCUGCCAAACAUCAUUUUAGAGCAACUGACGUUUUUAGUCUCCGCCAGCGAACCUCUCAAGGACUCCAGACGAAGCCCGGCAUCUCCUCCUCCUCCUUCACUUCAAGCCCAGGGAGCCACUCCAUCAUCCGCGGGUCCUCAGUGCCCAGUUCACCUCGCUGCUCUGACAUUAAAACGCCGCGCUGGUUUUGGAUAUCGUCCCCCUACGCCGAGCACCAGCCUGGCACCAGGUUUUUUGUGUCGUGCAUCUUACUUAAUACUUGGGAUCGAGACGGGAUUUGCGCAGCUCCAGGAUCGCUGUUGACUAACUGAAUGAAGGUGGCAGGAAAAGGGUUAGGAGAGUGGAAGAGAAGUAAGGACUUCAAGCCAUCUCAGUACAUUCACCAAAAGACAACCCGUAUCAAAGAGAUAAGACAAAGCUAAAAGAGUCCAUUCUCUUUCGUGAUUUGUGCAGCAGGACAUCAAUUUUAUGCCCACGGUAAUUGCUAAACUACAGCAAAAACCCAAUAAACAUGCGGAGAAGGAAAAGGAAAUGCUGACCAGAGAGAGAAAAGCAAUAAAGAGGCUAAUCCUACAGAGUCACCGUCGGAGCCUCGCGAGAGCCUGGUAAACCUAAGAGCCAUUUAGAUUUGAAGAUGAGUAUGUCAGAGACUCUGGAAAAUUACAGCAUUUCUCUCAGUAUAAUGAAACCACCAACCAUGUGAGUACCUGAUUCAAGAUGAACUAGGCUUUCUGUGGAAGGGAAACGUAAUUCAAAUAUUCUCUGGCCACACACUAGCGAUCUUAAAAAGAGAGCACAUCAUUUUUUCCUUGAAAAGCUAUCUGGGUUGCUGCUGAAAUAUUCCAAAAUAUCCAAGUUCAUGGAAAAGGGGACCAAAGCGAAGAGAGCUGAAAAGGCCUCCGGUUUCCAGGCCUGUUCACUAGGCUACGCCAGGGGUAAUGGAACCAUUUCAAGGCCCAUGGUUUAAAAAUUUUUUUUAAUGUUUUUAUUUCUUUUUGGGACAGAGAGAGACAGAGCAUGGGCCGGGGAGGGGCAGAGAGAGAGGGAGACACAGAAUCCGCAGCGGGCUCCAGGCUCCGAGCUGUCAGCACAGAGAGACAACAGCGUGAGGGUUCCGUCUACUGUCGCUGACCUUGAAGUUAGAGGGAGAAGACUCCAGGCCAAGGGAUGUGGGUGGCCCCUAUACGUUGAAAAGGCAGAGGGAGACCGAGUUUCCUCUGGAGCCUCCAGAAAGAAAUGUAGCCCUGCAGAUAUGCUGCUUUCAGCACGGUGAGAUCUGUGUUGGAUUUCUGACCCCCAGAAUUGUAUGCAAAGGAACUUGGGUUGGGGCGCCUGGAUGGCUCAGUCGACUUCCGCUCAGGUCAUGGUCUCGCGGUUUCUGAGUUCGACCCCCCCCUGUCGGGCUCUGCCCUGGGAUCCUCUCUCCCUCACUCUCUGCCCCUCCCCUCCCCAAGUAAAAUAACUUAAAAAAAAAAAAAAAGGAAAUUUGUGUUGUUUUAAAUCACUAUGUUUGUGGUAAUUUGUUGCAGCAGCCGUAGACAACGAAUAUAUGGAUAAAAUUUGAUUUUUUUUCCUCUAGAACUUGUCCUUCUACCUCUGAUGCUGCCACUGCCCUGUCGGCCAAUGAACGCUGGACAGCAACAAUAAAAAACCAGAGUGGUGGGGCCCCCGGGUGGCUCAGUCGGUUAACCGUCUGACUUCGGCUCAGGUCACGAUCUCACAGUUCGUGGGUUCGAGUCCCACGUCGGGCUCUGU